RNAcentral lists this ribosomal RNA (1023 nucleotides) under Triticum aestivum (bread wheat). RNAcentral's name for it is "partial small subunit ribosomal RNA". The record is from RNAcentral. Lineage: Eukaryota; Viridiplantae; Streptophyta; Magnoliopsida; Poales; Poaceae.
AUGAAGAAAGUUGAUGCACUUGGAUUCGGCAAUAGCCUGGUGUGCCUAGACGCACAUCCAACAGAGACAUGGAUCUUAACAUGCAAGUUUUUUGGAGAUGUUCACAUGUGGGAUCUUGUCUCUCAGGCAUGUUCUGUUGGGCUAUCAGCGACAGUUAAAUUCCUUAAAUUUAUCGCACGGAAGCAAUGGUUUCUGGCUGGUGCAGACGAUGGCUUCAUCCAUGUGUGCACCUACGGAACAGAGAUAGUACAACAGAUCAUGAGUUUCAGAGCCGGUUCUUCCAGUGUCACAGCAAUGACCAUCCAUCCAACCCAGCUAUAUGUGCUGUCCUCAGCUCAUGAAAGCCCGAUUAGGCUUUGGAACUGGGAAGAGGGCUGGCAGUGCACACGAACUUUCGACGAUGAACACUCUGGAACUGUCUGUCAGAUCACCUUCAACCCAAAUGAUGCCAACUAUUUUGCUAGUGCGUCCGAAGAUCAGACAAUAAAGGUUUGGAGCCUCGACUCUCCCAAAUCUAACUACACUCUGUUUGGGCAUUUGGCCCCAGUGAACUGCCUCGAUUUCUUCGCACAUGGUGAGCAACAGUAUCUGAUUUCUGGCUCAGAUGAUUUGACUGCCAGGGUAUGGGACUUGGCGAAACGGUCGUGUGUCUAUACAAUAAGCGCUCUCAUGGCUCCAGUUCUUUCUGUUAUAUGUCUUCUUCCUGAUCGUCCAUAUCUAAUUAUAGGUCUAAAAGAUGGCACUCUUCAUCUUUUCAGCUCUGCUGAUUUUAGGCUUGAGAAAAUCAUUGACUUCGGCUGUAGCAAAGUUUGCAAUCUCAUUCUGAUGGGAUCAGUAAGGGUUGUGAUUGAACAAGAGGGGGCAGUGUCAAUCAUAGAUAUAGACCCUGAAAAACAAGGUGGUGUUAUCAGUGAAGUGAUGGCUAACGUGGUCGAUGCGGUGAAAUUGGACGUUGCUUUGGAAACACAACUAGACAUCUUCGAAGAACCCUUGCCUGAUGCAGUUUCAGGGACAGGAAUAUGA